Molecule: small nuclear RNA, 162 nt
Organism: Rattus norvegicus (Norway rat)
Lineage: Eukaryota; Metazoa; Chordata; Mammalia; Rodentia; Muridae
Product: U1 spliceosomal RNA
Source: Ensembl
AAACUCACCUUUCAGGGGAGAUAACAUGUUCACAAAGGUGGCUUUCCCAGGGUGACGUUUGUUUAUCACACUCUGGAUGUCCUGACCCUUGUGAUUCCCCAAGUGUGGAAAACUAGCUGCAAAAUUUAUGGCAGUAGAGGACCAUGUUUAAGAUCCCCUCAU